RNAcentral lists this long non-coding RNA (215 nucleotides) under Mytilus galloprovincialis (Mediterranean mussel). Lineage: Eukaryota; Metazoa; Mollusca; Bivalvia; Mytilida; Mytilidae. The record is from RNAcentral.
AUUUUAUUGCUUUUUGUCAACGUUCGGCCAGAGAUACCAACCAACCUGGGAAUCUCUGGAAAGUCGACCCUUCCGGAACUGGUACGACGAGCAAAACUUGGCAUAUUAUGCACUGGGGAGUUUUCUCUGUUCCUAGUUACAGUGCAGUAUGGUUCUGGAAUAUUGGAAAAAUGGACACCGAGACAUUGUCAACUUUAUGAAGCGCAACUAUCGCC